CAACAACUCCCUCUGUCCCAAAUUUAUUGUCUUAGAUUUGUCUAGAUAUGGAUGUAUCUAAUACUAAAAUGUGACUUGAUACAUCCGUAUCUAGACAAAAUAUAAGACAAGAAUUUUGGGACGGAGGGAUUACUUU
Non-coding RNA from Triticum urartu, 136 nucleotides. The record is from Rfam. Lineage: Eukaryota; Viridiplantae; Streptophyta; Magnoliopsida; Poales; Poaceae.